Non-coding RNA from Paramuricea clavata, 5002 nucleotides. Lineage: Eukaryota; Metazoa; Cnidaria; Anthozoa; Malacalcyonacea; Plexauridae. The record is from the annotation of a GenBank genome assembly.
UUUGUAGAUAUACAUUGCAAUUAGUUCCCAGGAUGUUCCAAGUGAAGAUUUGUUGAUUAUGAACUCUUUCAAAGUCGCAAAUGAAAGGUAUUAUCUUUUUCCUUUUUAUGUGUAGCCUGUUAUGCAUGGAUCAAUUCCUGCGGUUACCAUCCCCCCACCCGGGCAAUACCCCUGGGAUUUGUUUUUUUCUGCAAGAAUGUAGUAAAUUCACACCCCUCCCCCCCCCCGGACUUUAAAACUUGACAAUUCCCUACCCCGGGGCAUCGCUAAAAAACUAAAAAUAAGAAAUAUCAACAAGCAGUUUAUUACACACAUUUUUAAUAAAUUAUUCAUUAAAAAAUCUGUGAUUUGAAGCUCGAUUUGAAGAAUCGUUCUUUUUAAAGUAUGUUUCGAAAGUUUUAAAAAGUUUAUUUUGAAAACAAAUUGUGUUGCAAAACGUAUAUAUUGUACUGUUGAAAAAAAGAUAAACUACCUACCUUCAAAAAUAGAUUUCAACUUUUGUAAGUUGUUUUUUUCCAACCAUUCGCCAACAAAUUCGCAAGAUUUUCCCGAAAAAGCCUCUUGAAUUGACCACAAGGUAGUCACCAUUUUGAAUAUUUUUGGACAUGCGCUCACUGAACUAUAUACAUGUCACUGGAUGCGCUAGCUGCUAGAUAUGCGGUCAAAACAUGGUCCUGGAUACGAGCUUUUCUUUUUACCCCGGGGAAACCCCCGGGAUUAAAGUUUCUGCAUUAUCCCAGGGGUUGCCUGGUGGAAUGGCAACAACAAGAAUUGAUCCCAUGCAUUAUGUAUAUUUUUAGCAAUUUUCUCUUUAACCCUUUAAGUGGCAAUGCACCCCGGUGCACCCUACUUUAGUAUUUACUCUGUCUAAUGCCGGACGACGGUCAUACUAAUUACUGACAAAAAGGCGGAUAAAUACCGACAAAAGGCAAACAAAAACCGCAAAAGGCCAACAAAAUUAUUCUACAAUGAUUAAUAUGUGAAAUGGCAAGUAUUUGGGUUAAAAACUCUUGUUAGUCAGCAAAUAAAUUAUGAAUAGAUCAUCACUCUUAAUCAAGUUAUUUAUAUGACUUAGACAUGGGGAAAAAGUUUUUUUCUGCCAAAGUUUUUUUCUGCCUUGCGUCAUUGCAAAAUUGAUGUUUUGUAGCUCUCUCCUCCGUAGAGCCUCCUUAAGUAUUUACAAAUAACUUACAUGAAGUUUCCUGAAUAAAAGUGAGCGCGCGCGGUGUGAUGGGAAGAUUGAAAUGAAGUUGGGGAGGCCCUGCCAGAUAAUGCGACGAAGUAUGGUUUUUGAACCAAACUAGUUGUUCAACUUGUUUGAUCUUUUUUAAACUUGAAAUCGACAGAAAUGUGAAAGAAAUUGAAAUGAAUCUUCAUAAUCUGAGUAUCGAAGUUCAAUAGAGUCAUUUUUAUAAAGAAAUGUUGCAAUUACUAGAGGAUAUUUAUAAUUAGAUAGCUUGUGUCCAUUGAUAUUCGUUUGCAAUUUCUCAAUAUUUUUCGAUGCAAAUGGCAGAAGAAGAUAUUGAUAUUGAAUUCACCCUAGCUGGGCAGGAUACUCAAGUAUGCCUGAAAAUGAAAGUCGAAAACAUGUUUUUAACACUCCCGAUGGUUGAUCGAACUUUGCUACAAACGAUUAUAGGCAUUAUAUACAAUGCCAUAUUGAUUGCAUUAACUUGCAGAGGCUUCAAUCAAUCAAUCAAUUUAUUGAGCACCAUUAUUUAAAAAAAAAUAUAUUUGCAUUAAAUAUUUGGAUCCUGAUAUGGGUGCAAGCUAGCAGCAGUAACCAUUAGGUUAAACAAGGCAGCUAGCUAGUAAUAAAUAAUAUAUUUCCAUUUCCAAUUAAUCUUAAUUAAAGCACAGAAGUAUAACUUGAAGGUCAAAAAUUGUUCAUAUAUAAAUAAGUAAUUCACUAUUACUAGUACCUUGCUUAUAACUAUUCAAAAAAAGAGAAAAAAACAAAAGGAAGAGAAAAAAAGAAAAUCUUGUUCAAAUAUAUUGCAUGUAAUUAUUAAUUUGUAUUUUUAAUUUUCUUUUGUUAGUUUUGACAAUCAUUCCUUGUAUUUUUGCAGUAGGAAUUUUUUAACUUCAGCUUUAAAUUUUGAUGGUUUAAGUUUCUUUAUUUCAUCAUUAAUUUCAUUCCAUACCUUUACGCCCGAAAAGCGUAUAUUAAAUUUCCCAUAAUUUGUUCCUUCCUGCUUCCUUUAUUUAGCUCUUCCCAUCACUCCUUGCACACUCACUUUUCCCUCACUAGGAACUUCAUGUAAGCCUCUGCAGAGGAGAGAGUAUUUUGUAGUGAUAAAUUGAUGAUUUUGUUUUUUACGCGGGGGGGGGGCACUAUUUUUAUGGGGGGACACUAUCCAUGCUAAUGAUUUAUGAAUUUAUCUUGUUUCUUGAUGAUGUCAUUUUCUAUAUGGUAUAAUAGUUGGCCUACAAAUACUAGCAUCUAUUAAAAUACAUUAUAAGAGUGAUAAUGAUUUUGAAAAAAAUCAUUGCCAACUGAUCAAACACUACAAGCCAAAACAAAUGUAAAUAAUAAUUACUAAUUUUAGAGUCAACCAACAAGCGAGGCAUGUGUGGGACUAAAACACAAACAUAGUUAAUAGUCAAAUAAUUAAUUAAAUAACCAUGUAGUUAACAGCACAUGGGGGGUUGGAAUUUGUCUCAAAUUGAGAAAUAAAGUAAGAAAAAACUCAAGGCAAAAAUCAUUGGGCCCCCCGCCCCACCAAGAUUUCCGCCACUGAGUGGAUAAAAGUUUUUCCCACAUAUAUAGUGAUGGAAAUUAUUUUUUAAAAAACAAUGCUUUAAUGGUGAUUAUUAAAGUUAUCAAGCUAUGAGUCAUCAGCUACAGAGUACAAAAGGUCCAGACUGCCGUAUCCAUUCCUAUUGUCAUUUUGACACUGCUUACACUCUCGACUGAGUUCUCCGAAAUUAUCACUUCAAAAGUUUUUAGUCGCUUGAAAGUUUUAUUGCUUCAUUAUACCAUGCAUCAACAAAAUCUUUAAGCUGGAGACACAUUAUUCAUUUUAGAAAUAAUUAUUCAAACAGCUGAAAUCUUCCUUUAGGGAAGAGACCUAUUAUUAUUAUUUCAUUUUUCUAUUAUUUGGUGUUUUAAAUGACACAUUUUCGCAUAAAAAAUUAAUUUCAUUGUGUUUACUGCAUUCAAGGUCAAAUUUAGCUAAUAACAUGGUUAUAAAAGUUAAGGUAAAAUAGGUUAAGAAAAGUGAUAAUUAUAGUUAAAUAUCAAUUGUUCAACUAUUUAAUCUUUAGAAGGUACAGUAGGUUCCUUCCCCUAUUUCAUGGCAUUCAGUUCAGCAAUUGCUCUUGGAAAGAAACUGUUUUUAAAACGUUCAGUUCUGCACUUAUACAGUGACAGAUUAUUCACGUUUCUCAUAUAAUAUUGUUGGGCACAAGCUCUACACUGUGUCACAUGGUCAGCAAGGGAACCUGCACGUUUAACAAUCUUCUGUAAGGUAUUUAUACAAGUUUUGUUUUGCCUGUCGCUAGACCAUACCAAAACGGCAAAAGUUGAAGAGCAAAAAAUCAAGCCUUUUAUACUUUUGUCGGCUUUUGUCUUCCUUUGUCGGUAUUUGUCUGCCUUUUUGUCUGUAUUUGUCUGCCCUUCUGUCAGUUUUUGUCGGUAAUUAGUAUGAGGCCAAAGAAAACAUGGGUUUCCUAUUUCUUCUUGUGAAAACUUAGGGUAGGUUUGUUUUAACUUUUUUUUAAAUUUUCUUAACAACUGAACACCUUAAUGUUAGUCACAAAUGUUUUCCUCUAAGUGGAAACACUUAAAAGCAUGCUCCAACAAAAAAGUUUAGGGUCUGGAUUUCGGCAUCCAAAAGCUCUAGGUAGGGUCAGGAAACUGGAAACCCAUGUUAUUUUUUGUGGCCUUACCCAUUUUUUAAUUAAAUCUGUUUUCGAAAAUUCCCCAAUAAAGAAAGAUGUGGAGUCACAGUAGAUCCACACUCCCCCUACAGAGGAAAUCAAGAUUUUUUAGACAAGUUCGGUUAUUCACAAUCACAACCUCAAUAAAAUUUAAUUAAAUUUUUUUGUAGAUAUAUAUUGGAAGUUCCCAGGAUGUUUCAAGUGAAGAUUUGUCGAUUAUGAACUCUUUCCAAAGUUGCAAAUGAAAGGUAUUGUCUUUUUUUCUUUUUAUUUGUAGCCUGUAUAUUUUUAGCAAUUUUCUGUUUAGUCUAAUUUAUUUCCUCAAUAAUUAAUUUUUAACAUUUUCCAGAUAUGUGUUGCAAGUUCCAAGAAUAUCCCAAGUUGUUGGCUGAAGUUUUGUACAUCACAAAAAAUGGACACCGUCAUCAGUUGGAAAGUAUAACAAAAGGUUUUAAUAAUUUUAUGCCAUAUUUUAUUUAUGAAAUGCUUUGAAAAUUAUAAUUGUGAUAAGUGGCUGUCUAUUAAGUUUUUAACAUAUAUGUUAGCAAAACAGGGCAAAUUGCCAUCUUUAAUUCAGAAAACAACAAAAACAUUAAAAAAAAACAAAUGCUCACUGGAUUGGUUGUUGUUUUGUGUUUCCACCGAUCACAGGAAGUUGUCAAUUUUCAAAGCAUUUUAUUUCAGACCAAGCCAAAGAAUGACUAAUUGUUUGUGUUUUGAAAACUUAAUAUGUUCCAUCUUGUGUGAAUCAUUUUCGACAUACUGUACACGUUUCAUGUUUGGCAUACUAGCUACUUCUUAAAAUACUUGUAUCAAUACAUUUUUAUUUAUGUGUCCUAUAUGUGGACAUAGUUGCUUUUACAUCACAAAGUUUUGCAUGUAGCUAUCAUAAUUUAUGACAAAAGUCAAAACAAUACAGUUUCUCAUUAUUUGGCUUUGUGGUGUGCAUGAGACUUUGAGAAGAAUGAGAUGAUUUUCAAUUUUUAUGUAGAUGAAACAAAUUUUUUACAGAUAUUAAAACAAGAGAGUUUUAAUUGAUUAUUUCGCCAUUGAAUUCACAAACCAGUGUUACGUUUAAUUUUAGUUGCAUGUUUGUUUCUUUAUCACAAAAAAGAACACU